RNAcentral lists this ribosomal RNA (433 nucleotides) under uncultured bacterium. RNAcentral's name for it is "partial 16S ribosomal RNA". It matches the Rfam family "Bacterial small subunit ribosomal RNA", at positions 29 to 507 of the family's 1533-position model. The record is from RNAcentral.
AACGAACGCUGGCGGCAUGCCUAACACAUGCAAGUCGAACGAGACCUUCGGGUCUAGUGGCGCACGGGUGCGUAACGCGUGGGAACCUGCCCUUAGGUUCGGAAUAACUCCCCGAAAGGGGUGCUAAUACCGGAUAAUUUCUUCGGACCAAAGAUUUAUCGCCUUUGGAUGGUCCCGCGUUGGAUUAGCUAGUUGGUAGGGUAAAAGCCUACCAAGGCGACGAUCCAUAGCUGGUCUGAGAGGAUGAUCAGCCACACUGGGACUGAGACACGGCACAGAAUACUACGGGAGGGAGCAGUGGGGAAUAUUGGAAAAUGGGCGAAAGCAUGAUCCAGCAAUGCCGCGUGAGUGAUGAAGGCCUGAGGGUUGUAAAGCUAUUUUACCCGGGAUGAUAAUGACAGUACCGGGAGAAUAAGCGCCGGCUAACUCCGUG